Molecule: ribosomal RNA, 256 nt
Filed under: uncultured bacterium
Lineage: Bacteria
Description: partial 16S ribosomal RNA
Rfam family: Bacterial small subunit ribosomal RNA
Source: RNAcentral
UACGUAGGGUGCAAGCGUUAAUCGGAAUUACUGGGCGUAAAGCGUGCGCAGGCGGUUUUGUAAGUCUGUCGUGAAAGCCCCGGGCUCAACCUGGGAAUUGCGAUGGAGACUGCAAGGCUUGAAUCUGGCAGAGGGGGGGUAGAAUUCCACGUGUAGCAGUGAAAUGCGUAGAGAUGUGGAGGAACACCGAUGGCGAAGGCAGCCCCCCUGGGUCAAGAUUGACGCUCAUGCACGAAAGCGUGGGGAGCAAACAGGG